This 70-nucleotide microRNA precursor is filed under the name Tursiops truncatus (common bottlenose dolphin). RNAcentral's name for it is "miRNA (ENSTTRG00000024879.1)". Lineage: Eukaryota; Metazoa; Chordata; Mammalia; Artiodactyla; Delphinidae. The record is from RNAcentral.
UUGGCCAAAAAGUUCAUUCAGGUUUUUCCAUACCGUCUUACGGAAAAACCCAAACAAACUUUUUGGCGAA